This 73-nucleotide transfer RNA is filed under the name Streptococcus pneumoniae. RNAcentral describes it as "tRNA-Phe(gaa)". It matches the Rfam family "tRNA". From Rfam's summary of the family: Transfer RNA (tRNA) molecules are approximately 80 nucleotides in length. Their secondary structure includes four short double-helical elements and three loops (D, anti-codon, and T loops). The record is from RNAcentral. Lineage: Bacteria; Bacillati; Bacillota; Bacilli; Lactobacillales; Streptococcaceae.
GGCUCGGUAGCUCAGUUGGUAGAGCAAUGGAUUGAAGCACCAUGUGUCGGCGGUUCGAUUCCGUCUCGCGCCA